This 499-nucleotide ribosomal RNA is filed under the name uncultured bacterium. RNAcentral describes it as "partial 16S ribosomal RNA". It matches the Rfam family "Bacterial small subunit ribosomal RNA", at positions 28 to 507 of the family's 1533-position model. The record is from RNAcentral.
GAUGAACGCUGGCGGCGUGCCUAAUACAUGCAAGUCGAGCGAACAGACGAGAGUGCUUGCACUCUCUGACGUUAGCGGCGGACGGGUGAGUAACACGUGGGUAACCUACCUAUAAGACUGGGAUAACUUCGGGAAACCGGAGCUAAUACCGGAUAAUAUUUAGCUUCGCAUGAAGCAAUAGUGAAAGACGGUUCUGCUGUCACUUAUAGAUGGACCCGCGGUGUAUUAGCUAGUUGGUGAGGUAACGGCUCACCAAGGCAACGAUACAUAGCCCACCUGAGGGGGUGAUCGGCCACACUGGGAUUGAGACACGGCCCAGACUCCUACGGGAGGCAGCAGUAGGGAAUCUUCCGCAAAGGACGAAAGUCUGACGGAGCAAUGCCGCGUGAGUGAAGAAGGUUUUCGGAUCGUAAAACUCUGUUGUAAGGGAAGAACAAGUACGUUAGUAACUGAACGUACCUUGACGGUACCUGACCAGAAAGCCACGGCUAACUACGUG